This 432-nucleotide ribosomal RNA is filed under the name uncultured delta proteobacterium. RNAcentral's name for it is "bacterial SSU rRNA". It matches the Rfam family "Bacterial small subunit ribosomal RNA", at positions 9 to 424 of the family's 1533-position model. The record is from RNAcentral. Lineage: Bacteria; Deltaproteobacteria.
GAGUUUGAUCAUGGCUCAGAACGAACGCUGGCGGCGUGCCUAACACAUGCAAGUCGAGCGAGAACGGGGGGGCAACUCCCCUAGUAAAGCGGCGAACGGGCGAGUAACACGUAGGCAACCUACCCUCGAGCCCGGGAUAACCUACCGAAAGGUGGGCUAAUACCAGAUAUGACCACGGAAGUUUCGGCUUCUGCGGUGAAAGGUGGCCUCUGCUUGCAAGCUACCACUCAAGGAUGGGCCUGCGCGCCAUUAGCUAGUUGGCGGGGUAAUGGCCCACCAAGGCGAUGAUGGCUAGCUGGUCUGAGAGGAUGGCCAGCCACACUGGGACUGAACACGGCCCAGACUCCUACGGGAGGCAGCAGUGGGGGAUAUUGCGCAAUGGGCGAAAGCCUGACGCAGCGACGCCGCGUGGGUGAUGAAGGCCUUCGGGUC